GCGCGUCGAUGUGACUGCAGGACACAUGAACACCGACAAGUUGAACGCAUAUUGCACAUCGUACAACAGUACGAUGUACACAUUUUUGAGUGCCUAU
Molecule: ribosomal RNA, 97 nt
Filed under: Culex bitaeniorhynchus
Lineage: Eukaryota; Metazoa; Arthropoda; Insecta; Diptera; Culicidae
Description: partial 5.8S ribosomal RNA
Rfam family: 5.8S ribosomal RNA
About the family: 5.8S ribosomal RNA (5.8S rRNA) is a component of the large subunit of the eukaryotic ribosome. It is transcribed by RNA polymerase I as part of the 45S precursor that also contains 18S and 28S rRNA.
Source: RNAcentral